This 354-nucleotide ribosomal RNA is filed under the name uncultured bacterium. RNAcentral describes it as "bacterial SSU rRNA". It matches the Rfam family "Bacterial small subunit ribosomal RNA", at positions 28 to 382 of the family's 1533-position model. The record is from RNAcentral.
GAUGAACGCUAGCGGCAGGCUUAACACAUGCAAGUCGAGGGGUAGAAGGAGCUUGCUCCUUUGAGACCGGCGCACGGGUGCGUAACGCGUAUGCAAUCUACCUUUUGCAGAGGGAUAGCCCAGAGAAAUUUGGAUUAAUACCUCAUAGUAUGUGAGGAUGGCAUCAUUUUCACAUUAAAGUCACAACGGCAAAGAUGAGCAUGCGUCCCAUUAGCUAGUUGGUAAGGUAACGGCUUACCAAGGCUACGAUGGGUAGGGGUCCUGAGAGGGAGGAUCCCCCACACUGGUACUGAGACACGGACCAGACUCCUACGGGAGGCAGCAGUGAGGAAUAUUGGACAAUGGGCGGCAAGA